UUCCGGUUGAUCCCGCCGGACCUGACUGCUAUCGGAUUGAUACUAAGCCAUGCUAGUCAUUGUAGUAAUACAAGGCAUACGGCUCAGUAACGCGUAGUCAACCUACCCUAUGGACGGGGAUAAUCUCGGGAAACUGAGCAUAAUACCCGGUAGACCACUUUUCCUGGAAUGGUUAGUGGUUAAAAUGAUUCGUCGCCAUAGGAUGGGACUGCGGCCUAUCAGCUUGUUGGUGAGGUAAUGGCCCACCAAGGCGAUUACAGGUACGGGCUCUGAGAGGAGAAGCCCGGAGAUGGGUACUGAGACAAGGACCCAGGCCCUAUGGGGCGCAGCAGGCGAGAAAACUUUGCAAUGUGCGAAAGCACGACAAGGUUAAUCCGAGUGAUUUCUGCUAAAGAGAUCUUUUGCUAGUUAUAAAACCACUAGUGAAUAAGGGGUGGGCAAGUUCUGGUGUCAGCCGCCGCGGUAAAACCAGCACCUCAAGUGGUCAGGAUGAUUAUUGGGCCUAAAGCAUCCGUAGCCGGCUCUGUAAGUUUUCGGUUAAAUCUAUACGCUCAACGUAUGGGCUGCCGAAAAUACUGUAGAGAUAGGGAGUGGGAGAGGUAGACGGUACUCGGUAGGAAGGGGUAAAAUCCUUUGAUCUAUUGAUGACCACCUGUGGCGAAGGCGGUCUACCAGAACACGUUCGACGGUGAGGGAUGAAAGCUGGGGGAGCAAACCGGAUUAGAUACCCGGGUAGUCCCAGCUGUAAACGAUGCAGACUCGGUGAUGCGUUGGUAUGUUACUAGCGCAGUGCCGCAGGGAAGCCGUUAAGUUUGCCGCCUGGGAAGUACGUACGCAAGUAUGAAACUUAAAGGAAUUGGCGGGGGAGCACCACAAGGGGUGAAGCCUGCGGUUCAAUUGGAGUCAACGCCGGA
Molecule: ribosomal RNA, 914 nt
Filed under: uncultured archaeon
Lineage: Archaea
Description: bacterial SSU rRNA
Rfam family: Archaeal small subunit ribosomal RNA
Source: RNAcentral